This 547-nucleotide ribosomal RNA is filed under the name uncultured Glomeromycotina. RNAcentral describes it as "SSU rRNA". It matches the Rfam family "Eukaryotic small subunit ribosomal RNA", at positions 548 to 1098 of the family's 1831-position model. The record is from RNAcentral. Lineage: Eukaryota; Fungi; Glomeromycota.
UUGGAGGGCAAGUCUGGUGCCAGCAGCCGCGGUAAUUCCAGCUCCAAUAGCGUAUAUUAAAGUUGUUGCAGUUAAAAAGCUCGUAGUUGAAUUUCGGGGUUCUACCGUCGGUCGGGCUAACAAGUCUGUACUGGUGUGUAGAAUUUCUACCUUCUGGGGAACUAUCAUGUUAUUAAUUUAGCGUGGUGGGAAACCAGGACCUUUACCUUGAAAAAAUUAGAGUGUUCAAAGCAGGCUUACGUCUGAAUACAUUAGCAUGGAAUAAUAGAAUAGGACGGUGGUCCUGUUUUGUUGGUUUCUGAAUCACCGUAAUGAUUAAUAGGGAUAGUUGGGGGCAUUAGUAUUCAAUUGUCAGAGGUGAAAUUCUUGGAUUUAUUGAAGACUAACUUCUGCGAAAGCAUUCGCCAAGGAUGUUUUCAUUAAUCAAGAACGAAAGUUAGGGGAUCGAAGACGAUCAGAUACCGUCGUAGUCUUAACCAUAAACUAUGCCGACUAGGGAUCGGACGAUGUUAACCUUUAUUGACUCGUUCGGCGCCUUACGGGAAAC